CGCUGGCGGCGUGCUUAACACAUGCAAGUCGAACGCUGAAGCCUAGCUUGCUGGGUGGAUGAGUGGCGAACGGGUGAGUAACACGUGAGUAACCUGCCCUCUUCUUUGGGAUAACGCCCGGAAAUGGGUGCUAAUACUGGAUAUUCACUGGUCUUCGCAUGGGGGUUGGUGGAAAGGGUUUUUCUGGUGGGGGAUGGGCUCGCGGCCUAUCAGCUUGUUGGUGGGGUGAUGGCCUACCAAGGCUUUGACGGGUAGCCGGCCUGAGAGGGUGACCGGUCACAUUGGGACUGAGAUACGGCCCAGACUCCUACGGGAGGCAGCAGUGGGGAAUAUUGCACAAUGGGCGCAAGCCUGAUGCAGCGACGCCGCGUGAGGGAUGGAGGCCUUCGGGUUGUGAACCUCUUUCGCUCAUGGUCAAGCCGCAACUGUGGGUUGUGGUGAGGGUAGUGGGUAAAGAAGCGCCGGCUAACUACGUGCCAGCAGCCG
RNAcentral lists this ribosomal RNA (486 nucleotides) under Schaalia meyeri. RNAcentral describes it as "bacterial SSU rRNA". It matches the Rfam family "Bacterial small subunit ribosomal RNA", at positions 34 to 517 of the family's 1533-position model. The record is from RNAcentral. Lineage: Bacteria; Bacillati; Actinomycetota; Actinomycetes; Actinomycetales; Actinomycetaceae.